This 826-nucleotide ribosomal RNA is filed under the name uncultured bacterium. RNAcentral describes it as "bacterial SSU rRNA". It matches the Rfam family "Bacterial small subunit ribosomal RNA", at positions 502 to 1321 of the family's 1533-position model. The record is from RNAcentral.
CUUGUGCCAGCAGCCGCGGUAAUACAGAGGUCUCAAGCGUUGUUCGGAUUCAUUGGGCGUAAAGGGUGCGUAGGCGGCACGGUAAGUCGGGUGUGAAAUCUUGGAGCUUAACUCCGAAACUGCAUUCGAUACUGCCGUGCUUGAGGACUGGAGAGGAGACUGGAAUUUACGGUGUAGCGGUGAAAUGCGUAGAUAUCGUAAGGAAGACCAGUGGCGAAGGCGGGUCUCUGGACAGUUCCUGACGCUGAGGCACGAAGGCCAGGGGAGCAAACGGGAUUAGAUACCCCGGUAGUCCUGGCAGUAAACGGUGCACGUUUGGUGUGGGAGGAUUCGACCCCUUCUGCGCCGGAGCUAACGCGUUAAACGUGCCGCCUGGGGAGUACGGUCGCAAGAUUGAAACUCAAAGAAAUUGACGGGGGCCCGCACAAGCGGUGGAGUAUGUGGCUCAAUUCGAUGCAACGCGAAGAACCUUACCUGGCCUUGACAUGCAUCUCUAAGUUGGUGAAAGCCAGCGAGUCCCGAAAGGGACGAUUUGCACAGGUGCUGCAUGGCUGUCGUCAGCUCGUGUCGUGAGAUGUUGGGUUAAGUCCCGCAACGAGCGCAACCCCUGUGAACUGUUGCCACGGAACCGAGAGGUUCCAGCACUCUGUUCAGACUGCCCCGCUCUAACGGGGAGGAAGGUGGGGACGACGUCAAGUCAGUAUGGCCCUUACGGCCAGGGCUGCACACGUACUACAUGCCCAGUACAGAACGAUCCUAGACCGCGAGGUGGAGGAAUCACUAAAACUGGGCCCAGUUCAGAUUGAAGUCUGCAACUCGACUUCAU